Molecule: ribosomal RNA, 744 nt
Filed under: uncultured bacterium
Lineage: Bacteria
Description: bacterial SSU rRNA
Rfam family: Bacterial small subunit ribosomal RNA
Source: RNAcentral
GGGAAACCUUUUAUUGAAGCUUCGGCAGAUUUAGAUUGUUUCUAGUGGCGGACGGGUGAGUAACGCGUGGGUAACCUGCCUUAUACAGGGGGAUAACAGUCAGAAAUGACUGCUAAUACCGCAUAAGCGCACAGAGCUGCAUGGCUCGGUGUGAAAAACUCCGGUGGUAUAAGAUGGACCCGCGUUGGAUUAGCUAGUUGGUGAGGUAACGGCCCACCAAGGCGACGAUCCAUAGCCGGCCUGAGAGGGUGAACGGCCACAUUGGGACUGAGACACGGCCCAGACUCCUACGGGAGGCAGCAGUGGGGAAUAUUGCACAAUGGGGGAAACCCUGAUGCAGCGACGCCGCGUGAAGGAAGAAGUAUCUCGGUAUGUAAACUUCUAUCAGCAGGGAAGACAGUGACGGUACCUGACUAAGAAGCUCCGGCUAAAUACGUGCCAGCAGCCGCGGUAAUACGUAUGGAGCAAGCGUUAUCCGGAUUUACUGGGUGUAAAGGGAGUGUAGGUGGUAUCACAAGUCAGAAGUGAAAGCCCGGGGCUCAACCCCGGGACUGCUUUUGAAACUGUGGAACUGGAGUGCAGGAGAGGUAAGUGGAAUUCCUAGUGUAGCGGUGAAAUGCGUAGAUAUUAGGAGGAACACCAGUGGCGAAGGCGGCUUACUGGACUGUAACUGACACUGAGGCUCGAAAGCGUGGGGAGCAAACAGGAUUAGAUACCCUGGUAGUCCACGCCGUAAGCGAUGAA